AAAAACUUAAAACAAUUAUUUCCGAAAUCUUCGUUAUAUAAUCUUUGCAACAAUAAUAAUGGUGUAAACGGGACUUUGUUUUUAUUUUCAACAGGAAAGAUAACUUCUUUUUUAGUGACAGUAACGAAAACUCCCCUCUCCACAAUAAUUAUAAGAUUGUGACUGCCGAUUUUAUUAUUUCUAGCGUGACGGAUACAAGCGUUAAAGUGAGAGAGAUUUUCCUACAUUAUUUGAAGCGUGAAGUUUUUAUUAUUUGAAGCGUAAAGUUUUUAUUAUUUGAAGCGUGAAGUUUUUAUUAUUUGAAGCGUGAAGAUUUUAUUAUUUCAAGUGUGACGGGAGUCAAGCGUCGAUGCGAGAGAGACCGUCACCUGAAAAGGCCAUGUGCUGUGCGAUUAUAAACAAGAAGCCGACGUCAGACAAAGCUUAAGCUUCCUAGGAUGAAAAUCAACAUGAUUUGUACUCCGGCAAUGACAUGGCACUCAGAAGAAAGCUGGCUGAAGUGAAUGUGGAGAAGAACAAUGGAACAAGAGAGAUUCCAGCUGGGUUGGAUUAGCUGGGCAUCAGCAGGGGCAUUAGCCAAAGACAGAGGCAGAUCAUGAGAUGUAUGGAUAUUGUCCUAAGUAAGAACUAACCUGGCAAUGUUGGAAUGAAAUUUACAGGUAGAAGGGAAUCAAGCGUUGAAGCGAGAGAGAUCGUCACCUGAAAAGGCCAUGUGCCCUGUUGGCUGUUGCGAAUAUGAAUGUAAACAAAAUGAAAGAAAGUCCAGCUAUAGGCUUUUUAAAAGCGAUUUUGUAUGUCAAUCUGCCACUGAUUGAAAGAAAAUUCAAGAUAGAAAAUGGAUCAGCUGAACAUUAAAUUCUGUCUGAAAGUGGUGCAAGAGAUACCUGAUGUUUCAUUUCAAAAUGAAGAAUUUGAUGGUAAGGUUACUGAGGCCUUAAUAAAAAUCAUUUUAACAACGAAAUGCUUUCUUUGAAUGUUAGAAUGGUAAUUAAUAUUGCAACCUAAUUUACGAACCAAAUCCGAAAAUCUUGAGUUUUUUCGGGUUAUUUGUCAAAAAUCAGGUGAAAAGCAUGACCCACCGGGUCAUAAAAAAUAAUCAGGUUACGGGUUUAAAAAUCGGGUGAGUUGGCAACUAUGCAUAACCCAUGUUAGCGGGAUAUGCAUUUUUUUCUGCAACAUCUGCAACAUAAAGUCCCAUUCUAACAAAACAAAGAAAGGCGAUUUAUUGUUUAUAUUGAUUGAUCCUUUAAAUCUGGGAGGUGUUCUACAGUGUAGCUGCUAUGCUGCCACUAUGUAAAGCAAUGCUUUUGAUUGUAGAGCUAACCUAGCUGCUACAUAGGGUAACUUAAAUUAGCACAAAUAUUGAAUGCUUAGUACCAAAUUCAAGAUGUCCUUAUUUUGCAACUUCACAGCACACCAGAUUUUAAUUAAGAAUAGGAGAAUACUUUCUACAUCUUACUGAAUUAAGUUAAUUUACAUAUGCAUUUAUUUGAAUGACAUUUUUUUGUUCUGAAUAUUAGUUUCUACUGAUACAAUUUUAUCCCAAAAUGUAGACUUAAUUAGCAGAUAAGCUAGCUGACCAUUCAAUAGAGGUACCAAGACAUUUUUUUACCUAGCUGCUUAUAUGUAUAUACAUAGGUUAGGCACUAUGCUUUUGAACAUAGUCCUGUAGAGGUGAUAUGCUUAUUAUAGCUGUUUGCUGUCUGAUAAGAUAAUAUUCAGUGGAUGUAAAUAUUAAAAUAAAAUACUUUAUAGUCUUUAUUAACAAUAGACAACCUAAGCAUUUGCAAGAAGUAAAAUUCACCUGUGAUGUCAUUAUUUUGUUAGAGCGCUCCAUUACUUUUCAGGAAUGGAGAGUUGCAAAUUUUACCAAUAACGGAAUUUCUUUACGUUCUAAUUUUCCUUUCCAUGCCUCUGCCGUGGGAAGAACUUAGAAAUUUUUUUAGAAGAGUUUCAGAAAUUUUCAGAGUUGAUUUUCACCUUGUGAAAAUGUUAUUGCCCAUGGUAAGAAUCGAACCCGGUACCCUUUGCUUUGUAGUAGGGUACUCAUUUCACUGAGCUAUUUAUUAUCGAAGCUGUUGGGAAACACUGGAUGAGAAUAACUUGGGUACACUUUUUUGGCUUACUUCCUAUAGUAUAUAAAAAAAUAAAUACUACUAAUAUAUAAUGUCUAUUUACACUAUAUUAUAUAAAUAUUCUUUAUUUUAUAUAAACAAACAAUAAAUAAAAGCAUUGAUUAAAAUGGUGGAGUUUAAGAGGGUUAAUAUACUCGUAGCACUCCAUUCCUUAAAGUAAUAUGGGCCUCUGUCUCUUCGAGCUUCGCCUCCAUUUUUUUUAAGGAAUGGAGUGCUACGAGUAUAUUAACCCUUACAUAUAUAUAAAAUACAAGAUUACUGUCUUGAAAUAUAAGCGAUAUCUGGCCGAGGGUAAGAAAACAUGAUAGGAGCGAGGCUUGCCAA
Saccostrea cuccullata (small rock oyster) is the source of this 2459-nucleotide long non-coding RNA. RefSeq lists it as uncharacterized. NCBI's taxonomy places the organism in Eukaryota, Metazoa, Mollusca, Bivalvia, Ostreida, Ostreidae. The transcript is spliced from 4 exons. The record is from RefSeq and is a predicted model, not a curated record.